CCGCUGAACUUAAGCAUAUCAAUAAGCGGAGAA
RNAcentral lists this ribosomal RNA (33 nucleotides) under uncultured Melampsora. RNAcentral describes it as "partial 28S ribosomal RNA". The record is from RNAcentral. Lineage: Eukaryota; Fungi; Basidiomycota; Pucciniomycetes; Pucciniales; Melampsoraceae.